RNAcentral lists this ribosomal RNA (275 nucleotides) under uncultured bacterium. Its description in RNAcentral is "partial 16S ribosomal RNA". It matches the Rfam family "Bacterial small subunit ribosomal RNA", at positions 28 to 305 of the family's 1533-position model. The record is from RNAcentral.
GACGAACGCUGGCGGCGUGCUUAACACAUGCAAGUCGAGCGGUAAGGCCCUUUCGGGGGUACACGAGCGGCGAACGGGUGAGUAACACGUGGGUGACCUGCCCUCAGCUCUGGGAUAAGCCUGGGAAACUGGGUCUAAUACCGGAUAUGACUCCAUGACGCACGUUGUGGGGUGGAAAGCCUUGUGCGGCUGAGGAUGGGCCCGCGGCCUAUCAGCUUGUUGGUGGGGUGAUGGCCUACCAAGGCGACGACGGGUAGCCAGCCUGAGAGGCGACC